GACGAACGCUGGCGGCGUGCUUAACACAUGCAAGUCGAACGGAAAGGCCCUGCUUUUGUGGGGUGCUCGAGUGGCGAACGGGUGAGUAACACGUGAGUAACCUGCCCUUGACUUUGGGAUAACUUCAGGAAACUGGGGCUAAUACCGGAUAGGAGCUCCUGCUGCAUGGUGGGGGUUGGAAAGUUUCGGCGGUUGGGGAUGGGCUCGCGGCUUAUCAGCUUGUUGGUGGGGUAGUGGCUUACCAAGGCUUUGACGGGUAGCCGGCCUGCGAGGGUGACCGGCCACAUUGGGACUGAGAUACGGCCCGGACUCCUACGGGAGGCAGCAGUGGGGAAUAUUGCACAAUGGGCGGAAGCCUGAUGCAGCAACGCCGCGUGCGGGAUGACGGCCUUCGGGUUGUAAACCGCUUUCGCCUGUGACGAAGCGUGAGUGACGGUAAUGGGUAAAGAAGCACCGGCUAACUACGU
RNAcentral lists this ribosomal RNA (467 nucleotides) under uncultured bacterium. Its description in RNAcentral is "partial 16S ribosomal RNA". It matches the Rfam family "Bacterial small subunit ribosomal RNA", at positions 28 to 506 of the family's 1533-position model. The record is from RNAcentral.